CUGGGAACGGUAACUAAUACCGCAUCCCGUCUUCGGACCCAAGUGGGGGACCUUCCGGGCUCUCUCCAUCGAAUGUGCCCCGAUGGGAUUAGCUGGUGAGUGGGGGAAUGGCUCACCUAAGCAACCAUCCCUGGUUGGACUGAAAGAAUGACCACCCACACUGUAACUGACACACCGUACUCACUCCUACGGGAGGCAGGAGUGGGCACCCAUAUUGGGGCCGACUAGGCCCUUGCCUGAUGCAGGCCUGCCGCGUGGUAUGAGGAACGGUCUUUCUGAGUUGGUAAGUUCCUUUUACAGGUCGGGGAAAGGAAGGGUUGAUAGUAGGUAAUAACCUCUGCAAUCGAUUGACACCUUACCCACGCGAGAAUAGAAACCACCGGCUUAAUCUCCCCUGCCCACACAGCCCGCGGGAUAAUCACGAGAGGGGUGCAAGCGUUAAAAUCGUAAUUAACUGGCGCGUAAACGCGCACGCAGGGCGGUCGUGUCAAGAUGAGAUGUGAAAUCCCCGGGCUCUUACCCUUGGGAACUGCAUUCGAAACUGGCAAGCUAGAGUCUUGUAGAGGGGGGUAGAAUUCCAGGUGUAGCGAUGAAAUGCGUAAAGAUCUGGAACGACUACCGGUGCCGAAGACCGGCCCCCUGGACAAUGACUGACGCUCAGGUGCGAAAGCGUGAGGAGCAACCAGGAUUACAUACCCUGGUAGUCCACGCGUAACCGAUGUCGAUUUGGAGGUUGUGCCCUUGACGCGUGGCUUCAGGAGCUACCCCGUUAAGUCGCCCCCCUGGGGACGUACCGGCCAGCCAAGAUAAAAAUUCAAAUGUAGAUUGCGGGCCGGCCGCCCCAGCGGUGCAUCCAUGUGGUUUACAUACGCAUGCAACCCGACGACCAUCCCUACUACUCAUGGCCAUCUAAAGAACUUAGCAGAGAUGCUUGCGGCCUUUAGCAACUAUGAACCAGCUGCAUGCCAUGCUGGUAGUCAGUUCGUGUUGUGAGAAUGUUGGACUUACGUCCCGCAACGAGCGCAAUCGUUAUCUGUCUAGCCACCGAUCCGGCUGGGAACUCAAAGGAGACUGCCAGUGAUAAACUGGAGGAAGGUGGGGAUGACGUCAAGUCAUCAUGGCCCUUACGACUAGGGCUACACACGUGCUACAAUGGUGCAUACAAAGAGAAGCCACCUCGCGAGAGCAAGCGAACCUCAUAAACUCCAUCGUAGUCCGGAUUGCAGUCUGCAACUCGACU
Molecule: ribosomal RNA, 1240 nt
Filed under: Pantoea sp. IAC/BECa-087
Lineage: Bacteria; Pseudomonadati; Pseudomonadota; Gammaproteobacteria; Enterobacterales; Erwiniaceae
Description: bacterial SSU rRNA
Rfam family: Bacterial small subunit ribosomal RNA
Source: RNAcentral